CCCUUAGAUGUCCUGGGCCGCACGCGCGCUACACUGACAUGUUCAACAAGCCUCCUAGUUCGACAGGAUUUGGGAAAUCUUUGAACGCAUGUCGUGAUAGGGAUAGAUCAUUGCAAUUAUUGAUCUUGAACGAGGAAUUCCUAGUAAACGCGAGUCAUCAGCUCGCAUUGAUUACGUCCCUGCCCUUUGUACACACCGCCCGUCGCACCUACCGAUUGAAUGUUUCGGUGAAGAUUCCGGAUAGGACUUUUUUGUUUUAUUUCAAUUCUGUCUUAAAAGCUAUCUAAACCUCAACAUUUAGAGGAAGGUGAAGUCGUAACA
RNAcentral lists this ribosomal RNA (321 nucleotides) under uncultured eukaryote. RNAcentral's name for it is "partial 18S ribosomal RNA". It matches the Rfam family "Eukaryotic small subunit ribosomal RNA", at positions 1470 to 1796 of the family's 1831-position model. The record is from RNAcentral.